AGCUGGCUAUGCGGCUAAGCUAAUGCUAACGGACGGUACCGUCCUAUCAAUACAAGGCCUUGUGGAGGACUCCAAGGCACAAGCUGUGAAACAGCAGGUGAAACAGCAGAAGCUCCAGUGGAAGUGGGGGCAGGGGCAGAAACAGAGGCAGAGUCAAUGAUGACAUGGGCAGAGACAACUGUGGUGGAUGAUUCGGAUCAGGUUUUAAUCGCUGAAGGGGCACCACCAGCAGGGACACUACCAGCAGCAACAGCAGCAGCAGCAGAGGCAGCUCAAUCAAGCACAGCGACAAGAACACAGCAGAACACGGAUUGCUGUAGGACGCAGAAGAUCCCUUGUUGAAGGGAGAAGAAAAAGAAGGAGGAGAACAGGACAACUCUUGGCCAGCCUUUGGAAGUGAGAAGUUACCUGGAUUCCUUGUGCGAUAUACUGUAGCUACAGCAAAAUAUUUCAUGCAAAAUAAAUAAAGAGUUGGA
Molecule: long non-coding RNA, 476 nt
Organism: Plectropomus leopardus (leopard coralgrouper)
Lineage: Eukaryota; Metazoa; Chordata; Actinopteri; Perciformes; Serranidae
Source: RefSeq, a predicted model, not a curated record